This is a non-coding RNA of Gymnothorax javanicus (giant moray), 71 nucleotides long. NCBI's taxonomy places the organism in Eukaryota, Metazoa, Chordata, Actinopteri, Anguilliformes, Muraenidae. The record is from the annotation of a GenBank genome assembly.
UCCUCGUUAGUAUAGUGGUGAGUAUCCCGGCCUGUCACACGGAGACCGGGGUUCGAUUCCCCGGACGGGAG